GUGCGAAGAUUGCAUAUCAUACCAAAUAAUGAAACCAACUUCUUUAAAAAUAUUAUCUCCGUAUCUGCGUUUACAUCAGGGAAAAAACUUUUCAGUAACAAUUUAUGGAAAAGAUCAGCGUCUUUAUGUGGAAUCAAGACUCUCAUAAUAUACUCAAUAGUAUACGGUCAUAUAACAUUUUAUAGUUUCGAAAUGUUUAUCGUUUCGUGUAAGUAUAUAUUUAUUUAUUUUUCUAUCUUUUAUCCCAUUUUUCACCGAUGAAUACUAAACUACGGAGAUUCUAUGUCCACUACCGCUCAUUCUUGGAAGGAUUAUUACCAGGUGAAGACUAUGGCUUAAUGAUUCAAUUCCCACGUCUGGAAGACCGUGAUAUUAGAUUAAAAAGUGAACCUGGAUCUGCUAAUGUGGAAUCUAAGGAAGUUGGUGGAAGCAGAGCAGUCUCACACUGGUGGAAUCAGCCAAUAAUAAAUAUUUAUUGUCAUAAGGAGAUUACAAUAAAAGGGGAAUUCAUUUUUGUAUUCCCCUUUUAUUGAAUCUAUUCAUUUCUAACUAGAAUAAAAAAGUUAUAUAAAUUAUAUUAAAUUCGAUUAUAUAACGGUGUGAAGUUGGCCCCCACUUUUGAAUUUUUGAGUUUUUUCUUUUGCACUCGUUUGCACCUCGU
RNAcentral lists this long non-coding RNA (661 nucleotides) under Androctonus crassicauda. The record is from RNAcentral. Lineage: Eukaryota; Metazoa; Arthropoda; Arachnida; Scorpiones; Buthidae.